Long non-coding RNA from Mugil cephalus (flathead mullet), 854 nucleotides. RefSeq lists it as uncharacterized. The transcript has 3 exons. Lineage: Eukaryota; Metazoa; Chordata; Actinopteri; Mugiliformes; Mugilidae. The record is from RefSeq and is a predicted model, not a curated record.
GGAUUAUGGUCAGUCGCAGAAAAGAGUGGAAAGCAGACGCUGGUUGAAGCUUAUGAUGCCUUGACUGUGAACGCUGAAACAACGCAGCACGACUGCUCAGGAUUCACUCCCAGCCCAGUCACGAUCUUUACAUCUCGCCAAAGUGAAUCUGACCCCUGAUACUGGUUUCCCGGGAGACGCCUGGUUGCCUCACCAACACGCUCAGCCGGAUAAAGGCAUAGUACUGCAGCAGUGGAGGGCUUCACUCCCAUAAAACACCGGCGAAUGAGAGAUCCUGACAAGUCCUCUCGGCCCUGCACCAGUCAACAGAUGCGAAAUGGCCUGAUAGGCUCCCCAGAGAGAUGAAGAGCUGGAUGGGGAGAGGUAGAAGAGGAGAAGAGAACGGUGAGGAGGGGAGGGCAGAAGGAGGGCGAGAUGGGUGAUGUAAAUGUCUGUGUACACCUACACCUAAUAAAUACUGACAGAUAAAUGACAGUUCCUCUCACUUAUUUAUACUUUUUAUUAUGAUGAUUUUAUGGUUGUUUUACUUGAUAAGCAGAAGUUCUGUCAUUGAUUUUGCCAUGUAAUGAUACAAGAGUAGUUCGUGUGAUGGCGCAACAGCACCCUCUAUCGAAGACUGAUGGCGCUACAACAGCUGCUCACUGCAGCUUUGAGCUGUGCUGAUGAAGUAUGCUUCUCAGUCUCCGUGACGAUCUCAGUCUUCACUAAAGUAAAUAUAUCUACCUUCUGAUUAAGACAUGUUGGAUUUUUCUCAGCCAAUGACUAUGUAGAUUGUAUGUAUAGUAUAUAUAAUUUUUGCUGCUGCUCCACUUAUGUUCUUCUUCAGUUGACGUCUUGCAUCUUCAUCAGUGCAU